Molecule: ribosomal RNA, 373 nt
Filed under: uncultured organism
Description: partial 16S ribosomal RNA
Rfam family: Bacterial small subunit ribosomal RNA
Source: RNAcentral
GUAGGUGGCAAGCGUUGUCCGGAAUUAUUGGGCGUAAAGCGCGCGCAGGGCGGUCCUUUAAGUCUGAUGUGAAAGCCCACGGCUCAACCGUGGAGGGUCAUUGGAAACUGGGGGACUUGAGUACAGAAGAGGAAAGCGGAAUUCCAAGUGUAGCGGUGAAACGCGUAGAGAUUUGGAGGAACACCAGUGGCGAAGGCGGCUUUCUGGUCUGUAACUGACGCUGAGGCGCGAAAGCGUGGGGAGCAAACAGGAUUAGAUACCCUGGUAGUCCACGCCGUAAACGAUGAGUGCUAAGUGUUAGGGGGUUUCCGCCCCUUAGUGCUGCAGCUAACGCAUUAAGCACUCCGCCUGGGGAGUACGGCCGCAAAGGCUG